AACGAACGCUGGCGGCAGGCCUAACACAUGCAAGUCGAGCGGACCCUUCGGGGUUAGCGGCGGACGGGUGAGUAACGCGUGGGAAUAUGCCCUUCUCUACGGAAUAGUCCUGGGAAACUGGGGGUAAUACCGUAUACGCCCUUUGGGGGAAAGAUUUAUCGGGGAAGGAUUAGCCCGCGUUGGAUUAGGUAGUUGGUGGGGUAAUGGCCUACCAAGCCGACGAUCCAUAGCUGGUUUGAGAGGAUGAUAGCCACACUGGGACUGAGACACGGCCCAGACUCCUACGGGAGGCAGCAGUGGGGAAUCUUAGACAAUGGGGGCAACCCUGAUCUAGCCAUGCCGCGUGAGUGAUGAAGGCCUUAGGGUUGUAAAGCUCUUUCAGCUGGGAAGAUAAUGACGGUACCAGCAGAAGAAGCCCCGGCUAACUCCGUG
This 432-nucleotide ribosomal RNA is filed under the name uncultured bacterium. RNAcentral's name for it is "partial 16S ribosomal RNA". It matches the Rfam family "Bacterial small subunit ribosomal RNA", at positions 29 to 507 of the family's 1533-position model. The record is from RNAcentral.